AAUCGAGGCCCCGUAAUUGGAAUGAGUACACUUUAAAUCCUUUAACGAGGAUCAAUUGGAGGGCAAGUCUGGUGCCAGCAGCCGCGGUAAUUCCAGCUCCAAUAGCGUAUAUUAAAGUUGUUGCAGUUAAAAAGCUCGUAGUUGGAUCUCAGGAUUUGGAUGGAUGGUUCGCUUUCGGGCGCUACUAUCUGUCUGACCUACUCUAGUCGUGGAUGCCUUGGGUGCUCUUAAUUGAGUGCUUUUGGUGCCCGACGCAAUUACUUUGAAAAAAUUAGAGUGCUCAAAGCAGGCGUAUUGCCUGAAUAGUGUUGCAUGGAAUAAUGAAAUAGGAGUUUACUUCUAUUUUGUUGGUUUUCGGAGGUGAACUAAUGAUUAACAGGGACAGACGGGGGCAUUUGUAUGGAGGGGUUAGAGGUGAAAUUCUUGGAUCCUCUCCAGACAAACUACUGCGAAAGCAUUUGCCAGGAAUGUUUUCACUAAUCAAGAACGAAAGUCAGAGGUUCGAAGACGAUCAGAUACCGUCCUAGUUCUGACCAUAAAUGAUGCCAUCUAACAAUCCACGAAGUUUGCUUGUACGAACUCGUGGGCGGUCCCCGGGAAACCAAAGAUUUUGGGUUCCGGGGGAAGUAUGGUUGCAAAGCUGAAACUUAAAGGAAUUGACGGAAGGGCACCACCAGGAGUGGAGCCUGCGGCUUAACUUGACCCAACACGGGAAACCUCACCCGGCCCGGACACUUUUAGGAUUGACAGAUUGAAGGCUCUUUCUUGAUCAAGUGGUUGGUGGUGCAUGGCCGUUCUUAGUUGGUGGAGCGAUUUGUCUGGUUAAUUCCGAUAACGAACGAGACUCUACUCUGCUAAAUAGAACGUUGAUAUAUAAAAGUCAGUGCUGACUUCUUAGAGAGACUAACGGCGUUUAGCCGUGUGAGAAAGAGCAAUAACAGGUCUGUGAUGCCCUUAGAUGUCCGGGGCCGCACGCGCGCUACACUGACUGCAGCAACUAGUAUGCUCCUGGUUUGAAAAAACUGGGUAACCUGGUUGAAUUGCAGGCGUGACAGGGAUCAGAGUUUGCAAUUAUCCUCUGUGAACGAGGAAUUCCCAGUAAGCGCAAGUCAUUAGCUUGUGCUGAUUACGUCCCUGCCCUUUGUACACACCGCCCGUCGCUACUACCGAUUGAAUGGUUUAGUGAGGUCUUCGGAUUGGUGCUGAUGGAGUGGUUCUCUGCUCUGUUAGUGCCGAGAAGAUGAUCAAACUUGAUCAUUUAGAGGAAGUAAAAGUCGUAACAAGGU
Molecule: ribosomal RNA, 1286 nt
Filed under: metagenome
Description: SSU rRNA
Rfam family: Eukaryotic small subunit ribosomal RNA
Source: RNAcentral